RNAcentral lists this ribosomal RNA (216 nucleotides) under Triticum aestivum (bread wheat). Its description in RNAcentral is "partial small subunit ribosomal RNA". Lineage: Eukaryota; Viridiplantae; Streptophyta; Magnoliopsida; Poales; Poaceae. The record is from RNAcentral.
AUGAAGGCAGCUACAGUCCUUGUGUUCAUCCUACUGGUCAUUACGGCCUCUGCUGCAGCAGCUCCGGCGAGGAAGUUGGCAGGAGAUGAUGGGCAGCAGACGGGCAAAAUGGUGACGCAGACGGAGGUAAACGUACUUAAUGGGAAGCAAUCUGAUGGCUACGGUGAACAUCAGUGCUCAAUGAAGAAGUUCCCUGCUUGCAAACAAGGUCCGUAA